GCUAACCCCUUUUGCCAGCAUUUAAUAAUGCCUUCUUCAACUACUCUUCUCCGUCUUCUGUCUGCGUUUUUUUUUUCUUUGGAUAAAUUCUCUCAUCGUUUUCAGUGUGUGGUUUUCGUUCAAAUAUUGUGUCGUAGAGAUAGAGAAUUCCAGCUCCGAUGGAUAAAGAGAAGAAAGCAAAGGAAACUGAAGAGAAUCACCACCAACAAGAAAUGGAAUUCAAGGACUGAAAACGAAGACCAAGCAGCCCAAGGCCAAGAGGAAGAACCAACCGGCGACGAGAUUGAACGAAGCAAAAUCGGCAUCAUGAGAGCUCUUGCCUAGAGAGAAGAUCCAUCUGUUAAGGACGCUGAUGAUUUCAUGAUCCGGAGAUUCCUUCGAGCUCGUGAUUUAGAUAUAGAGAAAGUUUUGUAUGCAAAGGAUUCAUAUCCGAGUCGGAGUUUUCAACUCAGUUAGCCGAUGAGAAGCUUUGUAUGCAAGGGGUUGAUCGACAGGGUCGAGCUAUUGUUGUUGCCUUAGGGGGUCGGCAUAAGCCCACCAAAGGAAAUCUCGAGGAGGUCAAACGUUUUGUUGUCUAUGGUUAAGAGAAAAUUCGUGCCAGGAA
This is a long non-coding RNA of Hibiscus syriacus, 604 nucleotides long. RefSeq lists it as uncharacterized. Lineage: Eukaryota; Viridiplantae; Streptophyta; Magnoliopsida; Malvales; Malvaceae. The record is from RefSeq and is a predicted model, not a curated record. The transcript has 3 exons.